RNAcentral lists this signal recognition particle RNA (298 nucleotides) under Cebus imitator (Panamanian white-faced capuchin). Its description in RNAcentral is "Metazoan signal recognition particle RNA (ENSCCAG00000002789.1)". It matches the Rfam family "Metazoan signal recognition particle RNA". From Rfam's summary of the family: The signal recognition particle (SRP) is a universally conserved ribonucleoprotein. It is involved in the co-translational targeting of proteins to membranes. The record is from RNAcentral. Lineage: Eukaryota; Metazoa; Chordata; Mammalia; Primates; Cebidae.
GCUGAGCAUGGUGGUGCGUGCCUGUGGUCCCAGAUACUCAGGAGGCUGAGGCUGGAGGAUCUCUUGAGUCCAGGAAUUCUGGGCUGUAGUGUGCUAUGCCGAUCGGGUGUCUGCACUAAGUUUGGCAUCAAUAUGGUGAUCUCCCAGGAGCGGGGAUCACCAGGUUGCCUAAGGAGGCGUGAACUGGCCCAGGUCAGAAACGGAACAGGUCAAAACUCCUGUGCUGAUCUGUAGUGGGAUCGCACCCGUGAAUGGCCACUGCACUCCAGCCUGGGCAACAUAGCUAGACCCCAUCUCU